Molecule: long non-coding RNA, 559 nt
Organism: Monodelphis domestica (gray short-tailed opossum)
Lineage: Eukaryota; Metazoa; Chordata; Mammalia; Didelphimorphia; Didelphidae
Source: RefSeq, a predicted model, not a curated record
UAUAAAUCAAAGGUCAUUUCCAGCCACAGGAUUCUGUGAUUCAAAAAGCAACAAGUCUUUGAAGGGAAUAAAUUUCAGAGAGGUGGAUCUGGAUGGUCACUUCCUGUGAGCAGCCUGGGUGUCAGUUUGAUCCUGGAGCUCAGCCUGGAGGAGCUCACUCAGACAGCUUCCUUGAGAUGGUCCUGAUUCUGAGAUAAAGACAGCAUGGUAUAGGUAGAACAGCAAUGGAAUUGGAAUCAAAGUGCCUGAGACUAAAUGCUGACCAUUCACUUUUGGAUGCAUGAGCUUGGAAGAAAAAAAAAUACUUUACCUCUUUAGACCUCAGUUUCCUCAUCUCAGGUAAAAUAAAGCUAGGAAGUAUAAUUUCACAUGGCCCUUUAAAUGCUAACUCUAUGAUCCUGUGAUUUUUGCAGGUUCACAAGGAUAAUAAAUGUCAUUCUGACCAAGCAAAGCAUUUAUCCAUUAUACUAGUGGCUCUUAAACUUUUUGCUCUUAAGGCCCAUUAACAGUCUUAAAAAUUGUUGGGUAAUUCAAAGAGCUUUUUUAAGAAAUGUAGAUU